This 560-nucleotide long non-coding RNA is filed under the name Salvia miltiorrhiza (redroot sage). RNAcentral describes it as "long non-coding RNA (SMIL_LNC008031)". Lineage: Eukaryota; Viridiplantae; Streptophyta; Magnoliopsida; Lamiales; Lamiaceae. The record is from RNAcentral.
UGAGUUAUACUAUUUGGAUUUUCUCCAAAUCAGGUGGGCUUUAUUUUCAGUAAUGUAUGUGGAAUUAAUAAUCUAUGUUAUCAAUGAAAAGGUAGAUAUGAUUUAUUCAUGUUUAAAUGAUUUAUUUAUGCUAUAUGUGGAAAUGAUGAGAAUGGUUUGAAUGUAAGAAUGAUGUGAAUAUGAGAAUGGUUUCACCUAUGGCUACACCUAUGGAUACACCUAUGGCUACACCAAUGGCUACACCAAUGGUUUGAAUGUAAAAAUGGUUGAAUGUGAGAAUGGUUUCACCUAUGGCUACACCUAUGGAUACACCUAUGGCUACACCCAUGGUUUCACUACGAAUGAAUUUAUGUAUGUCAAUUAUGAAUGGUUACAACUAUGAAUGAAUUGUGUGGUUAUGAUAUGAAGGUGUUUUUAACAUGCUUCAAUGUAUUUUAUUUUAAGUCUUGUUCUAUGAGAUUAGCAAGCGUUUAAAGUUGUCAUGAAGAGUCAAGCAAGUGGAAAUGCCCAUGAAUUAUCUUUUUCAGUAAAUGAUUUUUAAAAUGUUUUUAAAUGGCUCA